GGGAUAACAGACAAGUAAAUUAGCCAUACAUUCAUGCUUGUGAGCCAGCUUUAAACGCGACUGCAGAACUCCAAGAAGAACUAUAAAACAACUGGGGAAAAAAAAAAAAAAAGUAAAAUACUUUGGCUAAGGCAACAUUUGGCAUUCUACAUUCAAGAUAAAUAAAAAAAAUGCUGGCACUUUAUAGCACUAUUUGUUAUUUACCUUUUUCUAGGCACAGGUCCUCAGCUAGUACCUAACAACAAACCUGAGAGCUAACAUUUGUUCUUUAACUGAAAUCCAACCUCUCCUCACUAUGUAAAACAUCAAUAAUGAAAAUUGUUUAACAUUCCUAAAUAGGUAUCAUUAGAAACUUGCCUGAGGUUUCUGCCUCCUAAUCAAUCUUUUAAAGUUCAAGGAACUUACUGGAGGAAGGAAUGAAACAUUUGCAUUUACUAACACAUCCUAAAGAUGCCUAGUUCUCUCCUUUACAAACUUGUCUUCACUGCAGUUCUGCCUGAAUACUGAAUCAAGCAUCUUUGAUAUGAGGCACUAUCAUACUUGUUAAAUCCAGCUACAGAAGAUGAAGCAGUGUCAUGGCCCCCAGUUACUCCACUGCACAGAUCAGUGAUCAUUAAGACUACAGGUGAAGAUGGAUUUGCACUCAUGUCUUGCGUGGUUUAUUGGGAGAUUUAAGCAUAUAUUUUCCACUCUUCUGUCACUUGCAGGACAGUAACAUCUUUCAGAGCAUCAAGAUGACUGACAACAUAGAAGCAGGGAAAACUCCCCUGAGGCUCCCUUGUCACAGGAAAUCAUGUUCUUCCUCAGAACACCUGCCUGGCAGCCCCAUCUUCUUACUUUAGUAGUUUAAUUCAACAAUCACUGUUCAACCUAUUGCCGUCUGCAGUAUUCCUAUUUCCUCUUCCUGGUCUUGAGACUACCGUACAUCUUUUGACUUGCUGGUAUUUCUUUUUAAUCUAGGCACUUAACCACCUUAAAAUUUGCAUCCAGGUCUCCACUACUGGAUUUACACUUGUACCUCACAUUGUAACACUUUAAAGCAUGACUUCAGCAAGUGUCAGUUGACAGCUAUGUUCAGAGUAUGAUCCAUUUGUCUAUAAAGCACAAUUUUUACAAAAAAUCCAGGCCACAAGUACACAAGCUAACACUUACAGUUACUUUAGAGAUGUCUCACACUAGCAACCCUGACUACAGGAGACUUAAUCAGUUCAGCACUAUCUUAACACUCCCCUGCCACAUCAUCCACAACACCAGACUUGUGAGAGAAACCAGUGUUCUAUUUUACAUUAUACCUAAUUUUGUGUAAUUUAAUGGCAGUCUAUCAACUAAUUGACCACACUCCUUGUGUGCUGCUGUAACACCUAAUCCAACAGAAAGUUAACCCCUAUUGAAGAAAGGGAAGAACAGUUCCAUUAGAUAAAUUUAUCACUGACUUGAUUCAGCUUGUAGAAAAGACUACUGAUGUGGAGCUGUUAGGGCAGGGAGCACAAGAGUGAAAAAUAACGAGAAAAAUCUUUCUGGGGCAGCAAGCAGUUGUAGCGGGUUAGGUUUGACAUUAAACUAUAUCCUCAGGGUCAAAAAAAAAAAAAUGUACUGAAUGGCAGCUAAGUGAAUCCUCAUAUUCUCUAACCUUAGUUUGCUGAUUUACCUCGCAUUGCAAAGUCUCUUCUCCAAGUGUGGCAGAUUUUUUCAAGCAUUAGGCAACAUAUUUGAGUGAACUAUUUCUUUAUGGGUGCUUUUCACAGAACAGCUCAAUUAAGGUUUAAGAAGACAUACUAAUUUACUAAGAGAUGUAAAAAAUUUUGCUCUCUUGCAUAUUCUGAGGAAAAAAAAUUAAUUCAUAUUUUAGUCAUGUAUCCCACUUUUAAGAAAAAUGCAUUAACAAUAUGUUCUGGAACUCUAAAACAGAGACAAUCUCCUGGUGCACCCUGAAAUACAGAUUGAGCCGGAUAAAGGAAUCUUCCUUCAACACCUUCCAUUUGGUCUGCUGAUGUCAAGCACACUGUUAAGAAAGAGCUGAGUGGAGACAGCUGCUUUGUACUCUUCUGUAAGUGUGAAAUAUAGACCAGCCUCCAAGUAGGUUGUAUCUGCUUCCUCCUUCAGUGGUCUUUGCUGUUUACCUGUCAGGCAGAACAGUGCAUGGAUUUCUUGGAGCAAGUUCUCCCUCAAUACAAGCUGUUAAAAUAAAACUUGGAACCUUUUGGCUGCAUGCUGCCAAAUCCCCA
This is a long non-coding RNA of Tyto alba (common barn owl), 2225 nucleotides long. RefSeq lists it as uncharacterized. The transcript has 2 exons. The record is from RefSeq and is a predicted model, not a curated record. Lineage: Eukaryota; Metazoa; Chordata; Aves; Strigiformes; Tytonidae.